This 500-nucleotide ribosomal RNA is filed under the name uncultured bacterium. RNAcentral describes it as "partial 16S ribosomal RNA". It matches the Rfam family "Bacterial small subunit ribosomal RNA", at positions 29 to 523 of the family's 1533-position model. The record is from RNAcentral.
AUUGAACGCUGGCGGCAUGCCUUACACAUGCAAGUCGAACGGCAGCACGGGAGCAAUCCUGGUGGCGAGUGGCGAACGGGUGAGUAAUAUAUCGGAACGUGCCCAGUAGUGGGGGAUAGCCCGGCGAAAGCCGGAUUAAUACCGCAUACGACCUAAGGGUGAAAGCGGGGGACCGUAAGGCCUCGCGCUAUUGGAGCGGCCGAUAUCAGAUUAGGUAGUUGGUAGGGUAAAAGCCUACCAAGCCAUCGAUCUGUAGCUGGUCUGAGAGGACGACCAGCAAAACUGGGACGGAGCCACGGCCAAGACUCCUACGGGAGGCAGCAGUGGGGAAUUUUGGACAAUGGGCGAAAGCCUGAUCCAGCCAUGCCGCGUGCAGGAAGAAGGCCUUCGGGUUGUAAACUGCUUUUGUCGGGGAAGAAACGCUCUGGGCUAAUACCCUGGGGUAAUGACGGUACCCGAAGAAUAAGCACCGGCUAACUACGUGCCAGCAGCCGCCGUAA